AGCAGCCGCGGUAAUUCCAGCUCCAAUAGCGUAUAUUAAAGUUGUUGCAGUUAAAAAGCUCGUAGUUGAAUUUCGGGAUCAAUACGUCGGUCGUGCUUCGGUACGUACUGGCGUAAUUGAUUUCUCCCUUCUGACGAACCAUGAUGUCAUUAACUUGGUGUCAUGGGAAAUCAGGACUGUUACUUUGAAAAAUUAGAGUGUUUAAAGCAGGCUCACGCUUGAAUACAUUAGCAUGGAAUAAUGAAAUAGGACGUUCGAUCCUAUUUUGUUGGUUUUUAGGAUCAACGUAAUGAUUAAUAGGGAUAGUUGGGGGCAUUAGUAUUCAAUUGUCAGAGGUGAAAUUCUUGGAUUUAUUGAAGACUAACUACUGCGAAAGCAUUUGCCAGGAUGUUUUCAUUAAUCAAGAACGAAAGUUAGGGGAUCGAAGACGAUCAGAUACCGUCGUAGUCUUAACCAUAAACUAUGCCGACUAGGGAUCGGAUGAUGUUAAUUUUUUAAUGACUCAUUCGGCGCCUUACGG
Molecule: unclassified non-coding RNA, 520 nt
Filed under: uncultured Glomus
Lineage: Eukaryota; Fungi; Glomeromycota; Glomeromycetes; Glomerales; Glomeraceae
Description: SSU rRNA
Rfam family: Eukaryotic small subunit ribosomal RNA
Source: RNAcentral